RNAcentral lists this ribosomal RNA (99 nucleotides) under uncultured bacterium. RNAcentral's name for it is "partial 16S ribosomal RNA". It matches the Rfam family "Bacterial small subunit ribosomal RNA", at positions 392 to 508 of the family's 1533-position model. The record is from RNAcentral.
CAACGCCGCGUGGAGGGUGAAAUCCCUUGGGAUGUAAACUCCUUUCGAUCGGGACGAUUAUGACGGUACCGGAAGAACGAAGCCCGGCUAACUUCGUGC